UCCCGAGCGUUNUCCGGAUUUAUUGGGCGUAAAGCGAGCGCAGGCGGUUAGAUAAGUCUGAAGUUAAAGGCUGUGGCUUAACCAUAGUACGCUUUGGAAACUGUUUAACUUGAGUGCAGAAGGGGAGAGUGGAAUUCCAUGUGUAGCGGUGAAAUGCGUAGAUAUAUGGAGGAACACCGGUGGCGAAAGCGGCUCUCUGGUCUGUAACUGACGCUGAGGCUCGAAAGCGUGGGGAGCGAACGGGAUUAGAUACCCUGGUAGUCCACGCCGUAAACGAUGAGUGCUAGGUGUUAGGCCCUUUCCGGGGCUUAGUGCCGCAGCUAACGCAUUAAGCACUCCGCCUGGGGAGUACGACCGCAAGGUUGAAACUCAAAGGAAUUGACGGGGGCCCGCACAAGCGGUGGAGCAUGUGGUUUAAUUCGAAGCAACGCGAAGAACCUUACCAGGUCUUGACAUCCCGAUGCCCGCUCUAGAGAUAGAGUUUUACUUCGGUACAUCGGUGACAGGUGGUGCAUGGUUGUCGUCAGCUCGUGUCGUGAGAUGUUGGGUUAAGUCCCGCAACGAGCGCAACCCUUAUUGUUAGUUGCCAUCAUUCAGUUGGGCACUCUAGCGAGACUGCCGGUAAUAAACCGGAGGAAGGUGGGGAUGACGUCAAAUCAUCAUGCCCCUUAUGACCUGGGCUACACACGUGCUACAAUGGCUGGUACAACGAGUCGCAAGUCGGUGACGGCAAGCUAAUCUCUUAAAGCCAGUCUCAGUUCGGAUUGUAGGCUGCAACUCGCCUACAUGAAGUCGGAAUCGCUAGUAAUCGCGGAUCAGCACGCCGCGGUGAAUACGUUCCCGGGCCUUGUACACACCGCCCGUCACACCACGAGAGUUUGUAACACCCGAAGUCGGUGAGGUAACCUUUUAGGAGCCAGCCGCCUAAGGUGGGAUA
Molecule: ribosomal RNA, 937 nt
Filed under: uncultured bacterium
Lineage: Bacteria
Description: bacterial SSU rRNA
Rfam family: Bacterial small subunit ribosomal RNA
Source: RNAcentral